ACUUAAAACUAUUCUCUGC
This 19-nucleotide transfer RNA is filed under the name Chromis punctipinnis (blacksmith). Its description in RNAcentral is "partial tRNA-Pro". Lineage: Eukaryota; Metazoa; Chordata; Actinopteri; Pomacentridae. The record is from RNAcentral.